AAAGAUUAAGCCAUGCAUGUCUAAGUAUAAGCAAUCUAUACAGUGAAACUGCGAAUGGCUCAUUAAAUCAGUUAUCGUUUAUUUGAUAGUACCUUACUACUUGGAUAACCGUGGUAAUUCUAGAGCUAAUACAUGCUAAAAAUCCCAACCUCUGGAAGGGAUGUGUUUAUUAGAUAAAAAACCAAUGCCCUCGGGCUCCUUGGUGAUUCAUGAUAACUUUACGAAUCGCAUGGCCUUGCGCCGGCGAUGGUUCAUUCAAAUUUCUGCCCUAUCAACUUUCGAUGGUAGGAUAGUGGCCUACCAUGGUUU
RNAcentral lists this ribosomal RNA (309 nucleotides) under uncultured fungus. Its description in RNAcentral is "SSU rRNA". It matches the Rfam family "Eukaryotic small subunit ribosomal RNA", at positions 39 to 352 of the family's 1831-position model. The record is from RNAcentral. Lineage: Eukaryota; Fungi.